AAGGGCUAGUAAUGGUGGUUAAGUGACUUGUCCAGGGUCACCUAGCUAGGACUCUUCUGAGGUCAUAUUUGAACCCAGGACCUCUAGUCUCUAGGCCUGGUUCUCAAUUCACUGGGUCACCUAGCUGCCUCCAGGUGUGUCCGUUUUGAGCAGAAGCACAUUUGGGGCAGGGAAGAUGAGCAGCAAAGGUGAAGAGACAGGACUUCCAUAUCUCCCAGCCCAGUAAGGACUGAACCUAGACCUCAGACUUACUGGACUGUGGUCCCCUUUCCCCCUCCCACUGUGAGAAUUGUGCUUCUCUGGCUGGGGACAGAGAAAGGGGAGGGACCCAGUUUGAAGGGGGAGGGACCCAGGGGAAGGUCAGGAGGGGAACGGGACACUUGUCCUCUUCAACUGUCUACUCUUACAAACAACCAGGGGCUCCGCCUGUUCCUCUUCUCUCCCAGCAGGGAGAACCUCACCGCGGUUGCCGAGAGAGGCCCAGAAGGAGCUGGUUCUCAGGAGGUCCCUCUGGACUGGGGAUCUUCUCCAGGAUGAGAUCCUCUUCAGGUUCAGCCCACCUCAGAACGACUGGGUUUCCCUGAGCUCGGGCCGUCGGGGAGGCUGAGCAGAGGCCGAGGAGACAAAUUAGGACUGUGGUUUUGGCUGCGUAAAGGCCGGGGCUAGGGAAGGGGCAUCCCUGUUUCCGGAGCAACAGCUUCAUUUGCAUGUGGGUUGGUGGGGCAGGGGGUGGGUUAAGAGGAGCCGACCCAGAGCUGCGCGUUACCCAGAGCUAGUAGCCCGGGGUCCCUGGGAGCUCCAGACAGAACCUGGACACCCGGAUUACGGGUGUCUCCUUAGGCCGUGGGGAUGCGGGCUGCUGCCGGAAUCUGGCUGCCCCUCGUACUGCUGUAUCUGCUCCUGCUGCUUCCGAGCUCUGAGGGCCAGAAUCCCAAGGACUGCAACGUGGACUUGCGCGACGAGAUCUGCAAUUGUAGCCUGGCCGCCGACUACCUUCACUGCGAGAACCUGGUCUGCAGAAACCUCGGGGGCAAUGAGUCGAACGUCAUCCAGUACCAUGAGGAGAGCUGCAGGGACUUGGGCUCCGGGGUCCCACUGGGCCCCAGGGCCCUGGGCGCCGGGGCCGUCGUAGGCAUCGUCCUGGGGCUGCUGAUGCUGUUAGUGGGAGUCGUCGUGGGGACCGUCCUAGGGAUCCGCAGGAAACGGUGGUGGGAAGCCCCGGAGUCUUGUCCCGGGAAGCCUUCGGAGAGCAACGGCAGUCCGGCCGCGGCCUGGCAGCCCCGUUACAGCAGUCGGAGCUGCAGUUCCGAGCCCUUCCCUGCGGCCACUUCCCCCACCCACUCGGCAGCCCCAGGCCCAAGCAGUCCCGGGACUCCGCUCUAUCAGAACUUGUUUCUGGGCUCCCAGCCCAGUCACCAGAGCCCGAAUUCCACGGAGAGCGGGACUUUGCCAGAGUCGGAAGACCUCUACAUGAACUAUGAGGACAGCCCCAGGUCUGAGCAGCCCAUCUAUGGCAACGUGGAUAGCCUGAGCUGCGCCCCAGACUUCUCAGAACCCCCUCAUCCAGGGGAGGAGGACGAGGAUGACUAUGUGGUGCCAGGGUGCUGAACGCAUCACACUGGGAAGCCGCCUGCACCCAGGGCCAGCCCUGGGUCCUAUCCGACUUUAUGCAAAUGAGCCAGCAAGGACUCCGGGAGAGAGUUUGGGGGAGCCUCGAAACUGUAAUAAAGAAACUCCAUAUCUGUUGCA
This 1749-nucleotide long non-coding RNA is filed under the name Monodelphis domestica (gray short-tailed opossum). RNAcentral's name for it is "lncRNA (ENSMODG00000030524.2)". Lineage: Eukaryota; Metazoa; Chordata; Mammalia; Didelphimorphia; Didelphidae. The record is from RNAcentral.